UCACUCCUAUGAUACUUCAUCUGUGGCAAGCUCAGAUAGUGGUGACAGGACCAACUUAAAAAGGAAGAAGAAAUUACCUGAUUCUUUUUCACUUCAUGGAUCAGUUAUGCGCCAUUCACUUUUGAAGGGAAUUUCUGCCCAGAUAGUGUCUGCAGCUGUAAGUAUUUUGUUCUUUUCCCUCAACUUUGUAACCUGCAAUGGCAUAAUGAAGUAGGAAUGAGCAUAAAACAAAAUACAGCACUUCUCUUGGCCCGAGGCUUAAGAAAAAUAGAAUCUGGCUUUCAUGGUUUUUGUGUGAUGAUUUUUGACUUAUGAGACGUGGCUACACGUCUUGACAGAAAUUAGCACAGCCAUGAAAAUAAAGUU
Molecule: small RNA, 366 nt
Filed under: Pongo abelii (Sumatran orangutan)
Lineage: Eukaryota; Metazoa; Chordata; Mammalia; Primates; Hominidae
Description: retained intron
Source: RNAcentral